This is a long non-coding RNA of Callithrix jacchus (white-tufted-ear marmoset), 537 nucleotides long. RefSeq lists it as uncharacterized. The record is from RefSeq and is a predicted model, not a curated record. NCBI's taxonomy places the organism in Eukaryota, Metazoa, Chordata, Mammalia, Primates, Cebidae.
ACCAUGCAGGAGGUUUACUAGGGAGUGCUCAUGAGAUCAACAUCAGUGGAAAGGAAGGAAAGGAAGCAGGAUUUGGCAGGGGGAGAAGGUGAGCUGCAUGGCAGUCUCAAGAAAGGCCUCAGUGGAACUCAUAGGGUGCUCUGAAACUGGGUGACCUUUGAAGAGUUGUUCUGAGCACGGAUAGGAGAGAUUUGUGUAAUGAGGAAGUUCAAGGAGAGAAAGAGGACCUGAAAGUAUAGGAGAGAGAAAGACUUCAUGAUGGAGAAGAAAAGAGAGAAACAGAGUCUCAUGGAUAGAGUUGGCUUGGGGAGGAAGAAAGCCAGCUUAAGAGGUGAUCCUAAAGCAGACGGUUCAUGAAAACUGAGUGAUGACACAAGACUACCUUUAUAAGGUACUACAGAGGAGGGCCAGCCGCAGAGAAAGGGAGUGCCAAUCAGUGAGUAAUGAAGACUAGAGAUGGAUAUACAGUGGUCUGCUGAAGCCAGCUCAUACCACUUGCAAGAGCCAAAUGUUAAAAUUAAAGGAAUUUUGUGCACC